Trametes punicea is the source of this 72-nucleotide non-coding RNA. The record is from the annotation of a GenBank genome assembly. NCBI's taxonomy places the organism in Eukaryota, Fungi, Basidiomycota, Agaricomycetes, Polyporales, Polyporaceae.
GGUUCGGUGGUGUAGUUGAUAACACCUCCCAGCGUAUAUGGGAUGACCUGGGUUCGAUCCCCGGUCUGAUCA